RNAcentral lists this long non-coding RNA (2371 nucleotides) under Olea europaea (common olive). Its description in RNAcentral is "long non-coding RNA (OEUR_LNC011852)". The record is from RNAcentral. Lineage: Eukaryota; Viridiplantae; Streptophyta; Magnoliopsida; Lamiales; Oleaceae.
GGUGAAUUAAUGAAUUGCUUUUUUGGUUAAAUUAUUAGGUAACCUUUCUUGAAUGUUUUGAAUUUGUUGAACAAGGAUUAAUGUAAUAUGGCUAAUAGAUGUAGGAAAUUAUAUGUGGUGUACAGUUAAAUUUAUUGCUUUCUCUCUAUCAUGUUGAAUAUGGCUUGUUUAUUUGUUGUUUGAUAUGAUUUUUGGUUCAUCUUCAUUUCAUUAAAAAAAUGACGAUUUUGGUGUGAACAAAUAUGAAUGCCUAAAUGCUAUAAUAUUCUUAUGCAUGUUAUCCAUAUGGAGGAUAUAUUUUCUUUCCUAUUUAUCGACUUUGCCCUUAAAGAAGCAAUUUAUUGUUUGAAUGUUGAUUUCUAUGUUUCCAAUUUUGGGAAUGUAUUAAAUGUGCGACAUAUGAAACUACUUUACUAGCACAUCAUAAUGGCAAUGCAAUCCAUUGUGUAAUUGCAAAUUGUACGUCUUGUGAGGAUUUGCGCUCGCUUUUCCCAUUGCUGGAAAUGCACUUGUCCAUUAGUCAGUGCAUUGGUGUAGAGGUUUUAAGUGGCAAAGGGUGUGUUAUAUAAAGAAAAUUAAGAUUUGCUAUUAAUAGUUUUGCAUUAUUAGAUGCUUCAUGCACGUCAAGAUUUUAUAUGGAAAGAGUGGUUUGAGGGAGACUUAUAUUUUAAGGGAAAAAAUAUAUGAAUGCUUAAAUGCUUUAACAUUCUUAUGCAUAUUAUCUAUAUAUGAUUGAUUUAUGUUCAUUUCUAUUUCUAGAUUUUGCACUUAAAGAAACAAUACAAUGUUUGCAUGUUGAUUUCUAUGUUCCCGAUUUUGGAUAUAUAUGAGAUGUGUGGCUUGUGAAACUGCUUUUUGUAUCAGUUCAUAAUGGCAACGCAGUCCAUUGCGUAAUUGCAAGGUGUACGUCGUGAGGAUUUGCAUUACAGGGAUAUUCACAUGUCCAUUAGUCAGUGCAUCGAUUUAGAGGUUUUAAAUUGGAAUGAGUGAGUUUUAUAAAUAGAAGUAAGAUUUGCUGGUUAUAGUUUUGUGCUAUUUGAGCAUCUCUAAUGGUAGUGUAAAUUUAAAUCUCCAAAAUGGCCAGGAUCCUCUUCAAUGGAGAGAUGCAAGUUGCGUUUUCCAGUAGAGAAAAAAAAAAAGAAAAAAAGAAGAUGUAAUUUACAUUUUUUUUACACGGCAAAAAAUGGAUUUAGAUUUUCAUAGAGCCGAAUUUGGAUUUAGAUUCAUCUCGCAAAAGUGAUUUUGAAUAUACUAAUUUACACUCAAUUUCACACCACCAGUGGAGAUGCUCUUAGAUGCUACAUGCACAUCAUAAGAUUGUAUACUGAAAUAGGGGGUUGAGAUGGAAACUUUUAUUUUGAGGAAAAAAUAUAUGAAUCCUUAGAUGCUUUAAUAUUCUUAUGCAUAUCGUAUAUGAUCAAUUUAUGUGCAUUUCUAUUUCUAGACUUUGCACUUAAAGAAGUAUUGUAUUGUUUGCAUGUUGAUUUCUAUGUUCCUGAUUUUGAAAUGUAUUGAAUGUGUAGCAUAUGAAACUGCUUUAAUAGCAGCUCAUAAUGGCAAUGCAAUCCGUUGUAUUAUUGCAAUGUAUAAGUCAUGUGAGGAUUUCACUUGUUCUAGACAUUGCUGGGAUGCAUUGUAUUGUUUGCAUGUUAAUUACUAUGUUCCCGAUUUUGGCAAUGUAUUAAAUGAUUGUAUAUGAAACUACCUUAAUAUCAACUCAUAAUGGCAAUGCAGUCCGUGGUUUUAAUUUGUAAGGGGUGAGUUUUGUGAAGAAAAGUAAGAUUUGCUAUUAAUAGUUUUUGCGCUAAUAGAUGCCACAUAUAUGUCAUAAGAUCGUAUAUGGAAAUAGUGGUUUGAGAGGGAAUCUUUUAUUCUAAGGAAAAAAUAUAUAAAUGCUUCAAUAUUCUUGUGCUUAUUAUCUAUACAUGAUCGAUUCAUGUUCAUUUCUAUUUCUGGGCUUUGCAUCUAAAGAUGCAUUGUAUUGUUUGCAUGUUAAUUACUAUGUUCCCGAUUUUGGCAAUGUAUUAAAUGAUUGUAUAUGAAACUACCUUAAUAUCAACUCAUAAUGGCAAUGCAGUCCAUUGUGUAAUUGCAACGUCUUGUGAGGAUUUGUACUUUACAGUUAUGUUUUAUCCAUCACUGGAUAUGCAUGUUUCCACUAGUCAGUGCAUCGAUGUGGUUUAUAUUGGGAAAGGGUGAGUUUUGUAAAGAGAGAAAGAUUUGCUAUUAACGCUAUGAGAGGGAAAGCUAUAGGGAAAAAUAUAUGAAUGCUUAAAUUCUUCUAUUUCUAGACUUUGCACUUAAAAAGCAGUGUAUUGUUUGCAAGUUGGUUUUUAUUAGGGCUGGGCAAAUCUCCCGAACCGAACCGACC